CCUACGGGGGGCAGCAGUGAGGAAUAUUGGUCAAUGGCCGCAGGGCUGAACCAGCCAAGUCGCGUGAGGGAUGACGGUCCUAUGGAUUGUAAACCUCUUUUGUCAGGGAGCAAAGGGCGCCACGUGUGGCGCUUUGCGAGUACCUGAAGAAAAAGCAUCGGAUAACUCCGUGCCAGCAGCCGCGGUAAUACGGAGGAUGCGAGCGUUAUCCGGAUUUAUUGGGUUUAAAGGGUGCGCAGGCGGAAUGUCAAGUCAGCGGUAAAAUUGCGGGGCUCAACCCCGUCGUGCCGUUGAAACUGGCGUUCUUGAGUGAGCGAGAAGUAUGCGGAAUGCGUGGUGUAGCGGUGAAAUGCAUAGAUAUCACGCAGAACUCCGGUUGCGAAGGCAGCAUACCGGCGCUCAACUGACGCUCAUGCGCGAAAGCGUGGGUAUCGAACAGGAUUAGAUACCCGAGUAGUC
Molecule: ribosomal RNA, 459 nt
Filed under: uncultured bacterium
Lineage: Bacteria
Description: partial 16S ribosomal RNA
Rfam family: Bacterial small subunit ribosomal RNA
Source: RNAcentral